This 491-nucleotide ribosomal RNA is filed under the name uncultured bacterium. RNAcentral describes it as "bacterial SSU rRNA". It matches the Rfam family "Bacterial small subunit ribosomal RNA", at positions 28 to 507 of the family's 1533-position model. The record is from RNAcentral.
GAUGAACGCUAGCUACAGGCUUAACACAUGCAAGUCGAGGGGAAACGACAUCGAAAGCUUGCUUUUGGUGGGCGUCGACCGGCGCACGGGUGAGUAACGCGUAUCCAACCUGCCCACCACUUGGGGAUAACCUUGCGAAAGUAAGACUAAUACCCAAUGAUAUCCCACGAAGGCAUCCGAAUGGGAUUAAAGAUUUAUCGGUGAUGGAUGGGGAUGCGUCUGAUUAGCUUGUUGGCGGGGUAACGGCCCACCAAGGCAACGAUCAGUAGGGGUUCUGAGGGGAAGGUCCCCCACAUUGGAACUGAGACACGGUCCAAACUCCUACGGGAGGCAGCAGUGAGGGAUAUUGGUCAAUGGGCGAGAGCCUGAACCAGCCAAGUAGCGUGCAGGAAGACGGCCCUAUGGGUUGUAAACUGCUUUAUAAGGGAAUAAAGUGAGCCUCGUGAGGCUUUUUGCAUGUACCUUAUGAAUAAGGACCGGCUAAUUCCGUG